GCCCAGACUCCUACGGGAGGCAGCAGUGGGGAAUAUUGGGCAAUGGGCGCAAGCCUGACCCAGCAACGCCGCGUGAAGGAAGAAGGCUUUCGGGUUGUAAACUUCUUUUGACAGGGAAGAGUAGAAGACGGUACCUGUCGAAUAAGCCACGGCUAACUACGUGCCAGCAGCCGCGGUAAUACGGAGGAUGCGAGCGUUAUCCGGAUUUAUUGGGUUUAAAGGGUGCGUAGGCGGACAGUCAAGUCAGCGGUAAAAAUGCGGGGCUCAACGCCGUACAGCCGUUGAAACUGGCAGUCUUGAGUGGGCGAGAAGUAUGCGGAAUGCGUGGUGUAGCGGUGAAAUGCAUAGAUAUCACGCAGAACUCCGAUUGCGAAGGCAGCAUACCGGCGCCCUACUGACGCUGAGGCACGAAAGCGUGGGUAUCGAACAGGAUUAGAUACCCGAGUACA
RNAcentral lists this ribosomal RNA (449 nucleotides) under uncultured bacterium. Its description in RNAcentral is "partial 16S ribosomal RNA". It matches the Rfam family "Bacterial small subunit ribosomal RNA", at positions 329 to 794 of the family's 1533-position model. The record is from RNAcentral.